Molecule: small RNA, 132 nt
Filed under: Salmonella enterica subsp. enterica serovar Infantis
Lineage: Bacteria; Pseudomonadati; Pseudomonadota; Gammaproteobacteria; Enterobacterales; Enterobacteriaceae
Also listed under: 63 other names
Description: RtT sRNA
Rfam family: RtT RNA
About the family: This family represents a bacterial cis-regulatory element known as RtT RNA. The exact function of RtT is unknown although it is thought that it may be involved in changing the cellular response in relation to amino acid starvation.
Source: RNAcentral
CAUAUCUCUCUUACGGGAAGGAUGAGAAGCUUCGACUAAGGUUCGAUUCGAGCGAAAGCGAGAAAGCGUUGCCGCAGGCAACGACCCGAAGGGCGAAGCGCGCAGCGCUGAGUCAUCCUUCCCCCACCACCA